UUUAGUAAUAUUGAGUAUUAUUACUAUUUAUUUUAUUAAGAAUAAAUAAUUUUGAUGUUAUGAAACUGAAUAAUUGAGAUCCCCAAACCUUGUUUUUUGUUAAACUAGAUGAAUGAUUUCCUUGACUUUUUUCUUUUUUGCAGAACUUCAUAAUCUGCAUGUCCUCUGGGCUGCAGUAUGUGGAAUGCAAAGAACUCAGAUAAUGGAAUAUGAGAGAUCUGAAUUCAAACUCUGGCUAAGGCACUUUGGAUUCACUUGCUAGUUUGUGCUGGUCAGGUCUCCGACCCUUGGUUUUCCUUUGUGUAACAUGGGACUGGCAACAUCUACUUUGCAGAGCUGUGGGGUGGACUAGUGAUAAUGUAUGAAGGUGCUUAGCAUAAUGAACAGUUCAUAGUAAACAACCAUUAAAUUAUAAGAAAUACCCAUCUUGAGCCUUGGAUAUGUCCUCUGAGAAGGUGCCCAUGAUACCAAUCACAUUGGAGGCCAGUGCAGAUACUGGGGGAAGGUUCCCCAGAAGCUGAGUGUGGACAUGAUGAUCACUGCCCUCCUUGACACAGAGCUGUUAAUCUCUCCUCUGGAGCUGGAUGGAGGUCCAAGAGGCCUUGAAGCACUGAGAGAUGCCAUGCUAAUUCAAGGCAAGGCCUUUAUUGUUGAAACUCUUGCAUAAUGACAUCUCUAUUCAUGUGAAAAUCCAGAAUUAAUUUCACUAUAUGACAUUGUUUAUGUUCAUCAAAAAUGUUAUUUAUCUUUACAAAGUCUGGUUUCAGUGAACUGGCUACGUAAUGGGUAUUAAAUAAACAUGGAAUCUUACACAUUCAUAAUAUUUGGUUUCUUGUUGUGAUUUUGAUGAACUGUACUUUCAAGCACUGUCAAUUCAUCCUUAUUUACAAAGACACAUUUACUUGUAGCAGAGUGAUGUAGUGACUUGCUUUAUUUUAAGAUAAGUCAACUUUCCUGUUCAAUGUUUAAUGUAAAACUGACUCACAAAUGUUCUUUUAGACCACAUUUACAUUUCUCUCUGUAUAACAUGCAUUAUACUAUUUUAACUUAAGGCUGUGAGCUACUUAAGCCAAAGACUUUCUAAUUCUGUUUUUAAUGUAUUUUUUGCAAGAUAAUUUAUAAUGCACUAAUAAGACUAAGGAGCUCAUAUUAAAAGACUUGUAUUAGAUGACCUACUGAAAUUGAUCCAUAGAAAUUGUCUCAAAAGUAAUUUUGUAAAAUUAUUUUGUAUAAAACUGAUUUUCUUGUAUGAAUUCUAGGCAACAAAUAUAAAACAAAAAGAAGUCAUAACUCCUUCUCUACUAUCCUACACAAGGAUAAGUAAUUAAAUAGAUUUUUGUGUUUCUUAGAAAAUAAUCAGAUAAAUAGUAAACAUUUUAGUUGUGCAUAUUAGAUUCUGGUUAUCUACUUAAAAUAAAAAUCCUUUUCAAAGUA
Galeopterus variegatus (Sunda flying lemur) is the source of this 1434-nucleotide long non-coding RNA. RefSeq lists it as uncharacterized. The transcript is spliced from 2 exons. The record is from RefSeq and is a predicted model, not a curated record. NCBI's taxonomy places the organism in Eukaryota, Metazoa, Chordata, Mammalia, Dermoptera, Cynocephalidae.